Ciona intestinalis (vase tunicate) is the source of this 651-nucleotide non-coding RNA. Lineage: Eukaryota; Metazoa; Chordata; Ascidiacea; Phlebobranchia; Cionidae. The record is from RefSeq and is a predicted model, not a curated record.
GUCAAGUGGAGUAAUAAAAAACAGAAAACAUAAACAUUCAAUUUUCUCCCCAAGUAAUAAACUAAAAAAAAUAUUUUUAGUCUGGAGGAAGUAUUCAUCAUACCUUGAGCUUGAACUCUUGAAGGCCAAAAAAGAUUGUAGGAUUUCUAUGAUUACUUAAAAUUUUAUUCCAAAUUUUGUGUUGUUUUUUAUUCCCCACGCUUUGGGGUAAGAAAAACAUUUGCGGGGCAAUAAAAAACAAUGGUUUCAAAAGCAACUUUACUUCUAAAGAAAAAAAAAUUAACAAUGGAAGUACAAAGAAAUAAUACAAAUAUUAUCAUACAACUUAAGUAUUAUGCAGUCUAUAUUUUCUUAGAAACCUCAACUUUUCCUCUUUUUUCCCCAAAGCAAAAUAUACAUACUUUUAACAGCCUUGUUCAAAAGCUUUUAUUUUCCUUUAUAAUUUAUUAUUUUUACUUCAGUACUUCCUUUUAAACAUAAGCUUACCCGCAAAUAACAUUUAUUAGACUAAAAAUAAAGCCCAAAGUUAAAUAACCUAUACAAAGCACAAGAAAUAACCAGAGCAUUACACUUGAUUUACUUAAAUUAUAAAGGCUGUUGAAAAUCUAAAUGACAUAUUGACUUUAUCUAAACUAAAUUCAGCAACAUAAU